RNAcentral lists this ribosomal RNA (443 nucleotides) under uncultured bacterium. RNAcentral's name for it is "partial 16S ribosomal RNA". It matches the Rfam family "Bacterial small subunit ribosomal RNA", at positions 338 to 795 of the family's 1533-position model. The record is from RNAcentral.
CCUACGGGGCGCAGCAGUGGGGAAUAUUGGGCAAUGGGCGCAAGCCUGACCCAGCAACGCCGCGUGAAGGAAGAAGGCUUUCGGGUUGUAAACUUCUUUUCUCAGGGACGAAGCAAGUGACGGUACCUGAGGAAUAAGCCACGGCUAACUACGUGCCAGCAGCCGCGGUAAUACGUAGGUGGCAAGCGUUAUCCGGAUUUACUGGGUGUAAAGGGCGAGUAGGCGGGAAAGCAAGUCAGAUGUGAAAACCAUGGGCUCAACCUGUGGCCUGCAUUUGAAACUGUUUUUCUUGAGUACUGGAGAGGCAGACGGAAUUCCUAGUGUAGCGGUGAAAUGCGUAGAUAUUAGGAGGAACACCAGUGGCGAAGGCGGUCUGCUGGACAGCAACUGACGCUGAGGCGCGAAAGCGUGGGGAGCAAACAGGAUUAGAUACCCCAGUAGUC